Molecule: ribosomal RNA, 459 nt
Filed under: Triticum aestivum (bread wheat)
Lineage: Eukaryota; Viridiplantae; Streptophyta; Magnoliopsida; Poales; Poaceae
Description: partial small subunit ribosomal RNA
Source: RNAcentral
AUGGAUAGGCAAGGCAUUUCACCUUCGGUCUACAACAACAACGACGAGUUCGAUGCCAAGAACAACAACUUCGACGCCAAGAUGCAAGCUCAAAUGGAGGAGAUCAAAGCCCUCUUCAAGUCCUACAAGAGAUCUUCCUCAUCUUCGAGAAGACGCUCUAGUGCACACCCUUCCAAGCUACCAUCUUCGGCAAGAUCACAUCGGCAUCGACACCAUCACCAACAAGAACGUGAAGGUCAAGAGCUCAACACCAACAACCGCUCAACGACUUCACCAUUUCCCUUGGCAUCUCCGCCAAGCAACUACAAGGCAUCUUCGCCUACGGACAUACGGCAUCUUCGCCCACAAGUACCUCAAGACUACAAUCAAGAGAAGCUCCCCAAGCUCAAGUCCGCGACUUCCACGAGCUACUACGACCUCAACACCGACCACAAUAUUCCUUUCUAUGGGACUCAAUGA